This 503-nucleotide ribosomal RNA is filed under the name Stenotrophomonas sp. 2S2.F5. RNAcentral describes it as "bacterial SSU rRNA". It matches the Rfam family "Bacterial small subunit ribosomal RNA", at positions 38 to 528 of the family's 1533-position model. Lineage: Bacteria; Pseudomonadati; Pseudomonadota; Gammaproteobacteria; Lysobacterales; Lysobacteraceae. The record is from RNAcentral.
GGCGGUAGGCCUAACACAUGCAAGUCGAACGGCAGCACAGUAAGAGCUUGCUCUUAUGGGUGGCGAGUGGCGGACGGGUGAGGAAUACAUCGGAAUCUACCUUUUCGUGGGGGAUAACGUAGGGAAACUUACGCUAAUACCGCAUACGACCUUCGGGUGAAAGCAGGGGACCUUCGGGCCUUGCGCGGAUAGAUGAGCCGAUGUCGGAUUAGCUAGUUGGCGGGGUAAAGGCCCACCAAGGCGACGAUCCGUAGCUGGUCUGAGAGGAUGAUCAGCCACACUGGAACUGAGACACGGUCCAGACUCCUACGGGAGGCAGCAGUGGGGAAUAUUGGACAAUGGGCGCAAGCCUGAUCCAGCCAUACCGCGUGGGUGAAGAAGGCCUUCGGGUUGUAAAGCCCUUUUGUUGGGAAAGAAAAGCAAUCGAUUAAUACUCGGUUGUUCUGACGGUACCCAAAGAAUAAGCACCGGCUAACUUCGUGCCAGCAGCCGCGGUAAUACGA